AAUGGCAAGUGAUGAUUAAAUCUUUUCCGCUUAUUGAUAUACUGAGUAAUUGUGUUGACAUCAAACUCCGCUUAUUAUCUGAUGCCAUUUAUUAUCCAUUUUUCUUCAGAAUUUAGUCUUCGAUUUCAAUCUUUACAAAAAUUUCAGUUUUUAGAUUUUUGUGAUGAAGGGGGCAAGCAUAUGAUGAAAAAUCUAUCACUUAUACUACACACCGAAUUAAAUGUAGACAAUAUCUCCGCUUAUUAUCUGAAGCUUGC
Molecule: long non-coding RNA, 257 nt
Filed under: Rosa chinensis
Lineage: Eukaryota; Viridiplantae; Streptophyta; Magnoliopsida; Rosales; Rosaceae
Description: sRNA RchiOBHm_Chr6g0300831
Rfam family: Small nucleolar RNA R16 (bases 1-89)
Source: RNAcentral